AGCGAACGCUGGCGGCAGGCUUAACACAUGCAAGUCGAGCGGGCCCUUCGGGGUCAGCGGCAGACGGGUGAGUAACGCGUGGGGACGUGCCCUUCGGUUUGGAAUAACCCUGGGAAACUAGGGCUAAUACCGGAUACGCCCUUAUGGGGAAAGGUUUACCGCCGAAGGAUCGGCCCGCGUCUGAUUAGCUUGUUGGUGAGGUAACGGCCCACCAAGGCGACGAUCAGUAGCUGGUCUGAGAGGAUGAUCAGCCACACUGGGACUGAGACACGGCCCAGACUACUACGGGAGGCAGCAGUGGGGAAUAUUGGACAAUGGGGGCAACCCUGAUCCAGCCAUGCCGCGUGAGUGAUGACGGCCUUAGGGUUGUAAAGCUCUUUUACCCGGGACGAUAAUGACGGUACCGGGUGAAUAAGCCCCGGCUAACUUCGUGCCAGCCGCCGCCGUAA
Molecule: ribosomal RNA, 449 nt
Filed under: uncultured bacterium
Lineage: Bacteria
Description: partial 16S ribosomal RNA
Rfam family: Bacterial small subunit ribosomal RNA
Source: RNAcentral